GACGAACGCUGGCGGCGUGCCUAAUACAUGCAAGUCGAACGCAGUGGGGACGGGUGAGUAAAACGUGGGUAACCUCCCAUCAGAGGGGAUAACACUUGGAAACAGGUGCUAAACCGAUACUGAUGGAUGAACUCGCGGUGGAUUAGCUAGUUGGUGAGGUAACGGCUCACCAAGGCCACGAUGCAUAGCCGACCCUGGAGGAUGAUCGGCCAUACUGGGACGGAGACACGGCCCAGACUCCUACGGUAGGAAGCAGUAGGGAAUCUGCGGCAAGGGGCGAAAGUCUGACCGAGCAACGCCGCGUGAGUGAAGAAGGUUUUCGGAUCGUAAAACUCUUUUGUUAGGGAGGCGGUAUCUAACCAGAAAGCCACGGCUAACUACGUGCCAGCAGCCGCGGUAAUAC
RNAcentral lists this ribosomal RNA (403 nucleotides) under uncultured bacterium. RNAcentral's name for it is "partial 16S ribosomal RNA". It matches the Rfam family "Bacterial small subunit ribosomal RNA", at positions 28 to 526 of the family's 1533-position model. The record is from RNAcentral.